UCUUCUGAUGAUCAACUUUGUGCUUCGGCACGCUGGAAAUUACCGUCUGAAUAAUAUUGACGAUACAAAAUUGGCUGUUUUCUGAUU
RNAcentral lists this small nucleolar RNA (87 nucleotides) under Thielaviopsis punctulata. Its description in RNAcentral is "Ceratocystis radicicola A. fumigatus snoRNA Afu_300". It matches the Rfam family "A. fumigatus snoRNA Afu_300". The record is from Rfam by way of RNAcentral. Lineage: Eukaryota; Fungi; Ascomycota; Sordariomycetes; Microascales; Ceratocystidaceae.